CGCAAUGGCGCAGCUACCAUGCAAGUCGAGCGGUAGCACAGGGGAGCUUGCUCCCUGGGUGACGAGCGGCGGACGGGUGAGUAAUGUCUGGGAAACUGCCUGAUGGAGGGGGAUAACUACUGGAAACGGUAGCUAAUACCGCAUAACGUCGCAAGACCAAAGAGGGGGACCUUCGGGCCUCUUGCCAUCAGAUGUGCCCAGAUGGGAUUAGCUAGUAGGUGGGGUAAUGGCUCACCUAGGCGACGAUCCCUAGCUGGUCUGAGAGGAUGACCAGCCACACUGGAACUGAGACACGGUCCAGACUCCUACGGGAGGCAGCAGUGGGGAAUAUUGCACAAUGGGCGCAAGCCUGAUGCAGCCAUGCCGCGUGUGUGAAGAAGGCCUUCGGGUUGUAAAGCACUUUCAGCGAGGAGGAAGGUGGUGAACUUAAUACGUUCAUCAAUUGACGUUACUCGCAGAAGAAGCACGGCUAAACUCCCGUGCCAGCAGCCGCGGUAAUACGGAGGGUGCAAGCGUUUAAUCGGAAUUACUGGGCGUAAAGCGCACGCAGGCGGUUUGUUAAGUCAGAUGUGAAAUCCCCGGGCUCAACCUGGGAACUGCAUUUGAAACUGGCAAGCUAGAGUCUCGUAGAGGGGGGGUAGAAUUCCAGGUGUAGCGGUGAAAUGCGUAGAGAUCUGGAGGAAUACCGGUGGCGAAGGCGGCCCCCUGGACGAAGACUGACGCUCAGGUGCGAAAGCGUGGGGAGCAAACAGGAUUAGAUACCCUGGUAGUCCACGCUGUAAACGAUGUCGAUUUGGAGGUUGUGCCCUUGAGGCGUGGCUUCCGGAGCUAACGCGUUAAAUCGACCGCCUGGGGAGUACGGCCGCAAGGUUAAAACUCAAAUGAAUUGACGGGGGCCCGCACAAGCGGUGGAGCAUGUGGUUUAAUUCGAUGCAACGCGAAGAACCUUACCUACUCUUGACAUCCAGAGAACUUUCCAGAGAUGGAUUGGUGCCUUUCGGGAACUCUGAGACAGGUGCUGCAUGGCUGUCGUCAGCUCGUGUUGUGAAAUGUUGGGUUAAGUCCCGCAACGAGCGCAACCCUUAUCCUUUGUUGCCAGCGGUUCGGCCGGGAACUCAAAGGAGACUGCCAGUGAUAAACUGGAGGAAGGUGGGGAUGACGUCAAGUCAUCAUGGCCCUUACGAGUAGGGCUACACACGUGCUACAAUGGCAUAUACAAAGAGAAGCGACCUCGCGAGAGCAAGCGGACCUCAUAAAGUAUGUCGUAGUCCGGAUUGGAGUCUGCAACUCGACUCCAUGAAGUCGGAAUCGCUAGUAAUCGUAGAUCAGAAUGCUACGGUGAAUACGUUCCCGGGCCUUGUACACACCGCCCGUCACACCAUGGGAGUGGGUUGCAAAAGAAGUAGGUAGCUUAACCUUCGGGAGGGCGCUUACCACUUGGGAUUCAGGGC
Molecule: ribosomal RNA, 1451 nt
Filed under: Serratia marcescens
Lineage: Bacteria; Pseudomonadati; Pseudomonadota; Gammaproteobacteria; Enterobacterales; Yersiniaceae
Description: bacterial SSU rRNA
Rfam family: Bacterial small subunit ribosomal RNA
Source: RNAcentral